Molecule: long non-coding RNA, 215 nt
Filed under: Mytilus galloprovincialis (Mediterranean mussel)
Lineage: Eukaryota; Metazoa; Mollusca; Bivalvia; Mytilida; Mytilidae
Source: RNAcentral
UGGGUAACAAUUGUAUCGAAAAGAGAAAAUCGAGUGCACCUUUUUAUGUUAGUGCGUGUUUGAGUGGAUAAUUUUGUCUUGAAAACGUACGAAGCAAGAAUAUUUGAUACAUCAUCUCGCUUCAGAUUCUAUCAUUUUUAUAUAUCAAACCUACAGGUUGACUUUAUAACAUAAAAAAAUCACAAUACUAAAAGAUGAAAUAUAUGGGUCAAGUG